Long non-coding RNA from Bos taurus (domestic cattle), 1847 nucleotides. Lineage: Eukaryota; Metazoa; Chordata; Mammalia; Artiodactyla; Bovidae. The record is from Ensembl.
UAUUAUUGCUAGCCCACAUGUCACUAGCUGCUGAAUGACACCGUGCACCGCAUUUCAUGGAAAUAAAAGGAGAGCUCCUUUGUUGUAAAUUCAUGCAUACGCUCUUGGGAAAUUAGGGCACACAACAGAUGUAAAUCAGCUUUUAAUCCAGGUCCCAGUGUGGACAGUACAGAAGAGAGCAGUGGUGGGAGUCAGGAGAAAAGAGAAUCCUAACUCGUGCCAAAGAAGAGAAAAGAAUAUCCUGUUUGUUUUGUUUUUUUUUUUUUUUUAAAUCAGGUUGGAUCACUUAUAUGUACACUCAGAUACUAGUUUCUCUCUAUAUUGUUGAAUGCUCUCUUUCUUUCUUAAUUACUGGAGUUAAAGUGAAGCUUGACCCUAGUUAGAGAAAUCUCCAGCAGGACCUUCCUGGUCUGAAACACUAGGACCUCGUUUCAUAGAGGGGCCUCCAAUAGGCACGGGAUUCCUGCAGGGCAAGACACUUGGAAGGCUGCAGAAGAACUGCUCUUAGAGUCCCCCAGGAGCCCCUCAGGGCACAGUGCAUCCAGAGGUACCCAGUUCCCAGCAGGCUAGGGAUUCUUUGGGACUGGGUGGUGAGGCUUGCACCCUUUUCCUGAGCACCUCAUGUGCAUGCUCAGUCAUGUCCAACUCUUUGUGACCCCAUGGACUGUAGCCCACCAGGCUCCUCUGUCCACGGAAUUUUCCCGGCAAGAAUACUGGAGUGGCUUCCCAUUUCUUUCUCCAGGGGAUCUUCUUGACUCAGGGAUAGAACCCAUGUCUCCUACAUUGGCUGGUGGACUCUUUACCACUGUGCCACCUGGGAACCCUCCUGUGUACCUUGGGGAUCCUCUAUUCCCCUUCUCAAGCUGCCUCUGCACAAGUUUGUUUCCGCAUGAGCCGCUCACGGGCCAGCGGUGGGCAUCAGCUUUGGACUGGAAGAAUCUUUUAGACUGAAUCUGAUAUCAAAAACAACAACCCUUUUCCAUUGCUCCAGUGAAAGAAGUUGCAAUGCCUUCUGUGAAACAAUAUUAAACUUCCCUUCUUUAAAGGCAGCUGCUCAGGGUUUGACUGUUUAACCAUUUCACUGCCUCUUUUGUGCAGACGACUAGUUCUCAGAUUUCAGCUUGCACAUGAGUCACCUAGGAAACUGGCUAAAAAUGAAGAUUCUUAGCUAAUACCCCAGAACUUCUGCUUUAGUAAGUCUGCGAAAGAAACAUAGAAUCUGUGUGCUCCUAGUUUCCCCAGAUCGGAGAAGGCAAUGGCACCCCACUCCAGUACUCUUGCCUGGAGGGUCCCAUGGGCAGAAGAGCCUAGUAGGCUGCAGUCCAUGGGGUCGAGAAGAGUUGGAUACGACUGAGCAACUUCACUUUCACUUUUCACUUUCAUGCAUUGGAGAAGGAAAUGGAAACCCACUCCAGUGUUCUUGCCUGGAGAAUCCCAGGGACGGGGGAGCCUGGUGGGCUGCCGUCUGUGGGGUCGCACAGAGUCGGACAUGACUGAAGCGACUUAGCAGCAGCAGUUUCCCCAGAUAAUUCUAAUGCAAUUGGUCCAAGGACCACAGUUUGAGAAACAGCACACUGGGUUUAUUGCCAAUAGUGCCAGCGCUUUCAAAGCCACCUAUGCCACCUUGUUUCGCUGAUGCUGCUCAGAGCGCCGACUGUGUCUCUGUUUCUCACUGUGCGCACUCUUUGUUGAACCCAGGGUAAGAGAGGAGUGAGUUAAAAGGCUGGAAGAAGAUGCAAGGAGCAGUAGGAACUGCAGACACAUUUAUUCUCUCCUGUCUGGCAUAGCAGCCGUAGCAGCAGCCAUAACAUCACAUAACGUAGCCCCCAGGGCUUUCCAGGUGGAGC